AUCACGUUGAAAACAUCGGUUCCGGUAUGAUCAACGAAGUUAAGCAAAGUCGAACUUGUUCAGUACCUAUAUGAGUGACCACUUGGGAAUUCCAGGUGCUGUAA
Molecule: non-coding RNA, 104 nt
Organism: Acanthosepion pharaonis
Lineage: Eukaryota; Metazoa; Mollusca; Cephalopoda; Sepiida; Sepiidae
Source: the annotation of a GenBank genome assembly